UACAGAGGCCCCAAGCGUUAGUCGGAAUCACUGGGCUUAAAGGGUGCGUAGGCGGGUGUGUAAGUGUCUUGUGAAAGCCCUUGGCUCAACCAAGGAACAGCAGGGCAUACUGCACAUCUCGAGGAAGGUAGAGGCGGGCAGAACGAUCGGUGGAGCGGUGGAAUGCGUAGAGAUCGAUCGGAAUGCCAAGGGUGAAGACAGCCCGCUGGGCCUUUCCUGACGCUGAGGCACGAAAGCGUGGGGAUCAAACAGG
Molecule: ribosomal RNA, 253 nt
Filed under: uncultured bacterium
Lineage: Bacteria
Description: partial 16S ribosomal RNA
Rfam family: Bacterial small subunit ribosomal RNA
Source: RNAcentral